GAGCAAGAGGAUGAAUGGUAAAUGAAGAUGAAGUGAAACGAGCUUCAAGGUUUCAGAAUUAUGAGAGAGCAGGAAGAGGAAUGAAUUUGGAAAUGAAGAAGACAUGGUUGAGUUGCAGCUGCUACCCAUCAUCAUUUGUCUCUUGCUGAUCUUCAGUACUAGGAUGCAAAUUAUGAGAAACCUCCCAGACCAAUGUUAGGGUGAAUUCACAAUAUUUCAACCAACACCAAGAUUUUUUUACUAUUUCUUUGUGCAAAAUUAAAUAGGUAAUAACAACUAGUAGUAAUAAAUAUAUAAACUCAUGUAACAAAAAAAAAAUAAGAUACCAUAAUUUUUACAUGGAAAACCCUCCAAUGCGAAGGGAAAAACCAUAAGACCUAAUUCAGUUCAAACUUCUAUUAUCAAUAAUAAUGGGUUAUACUUGUCUUUUCUAGAAUAAUCUCUAAAGACUACCAAAUACAUCAAAAGUACAUAUAUACUUGGAUUAUACAAUCUCUCUUGGUAAAAGAAAUAAAGAAAAAUUGGAGAAAGUAUAAAAAAAAAUGUCGUUACUGUUCAUGAGCAGUAACACCAGUUCUCGAGCUCAAAAUCUGAUCUUAUCGUUCAUAUUGUUUAUACUCGAGUUUUGAACAUUUCCUCCAAAUUUCCACUGGAUCGAACCACAGAUGAAGCAGGAUCAACCUAUUGAUAAAAUCUGGACAAAUGUGUUUUUUUUUUCUCUCUUAUCUUCUCUUUGUUUUUUUUUUUUUUUUUUCUCGAUUUCUUUUUUGUUUUUUUGUUUUUUAAUGUAACUGACUUGGCCCUAAGCACAUGGGGCCCACUUCCCCACAUACGAGGGAGCCCAACAACAAAUAAAAGCGAAAAGGAAAAGGAAGAUGAGCAAGAAAAUGAACAGUCAAUGCAGAUGAAUUCGAAGUAAAGCAAGCUCUAAGGUUUCAGAAUUAUGAGAGAGCAGAAAGAGUAAUGGAUUUGGAUAUGAAGAAGACGUGGUUGAGGUGCAGCCGCUAGUCAUCAGCAUUGGUCUCUUUCUGAUCUUCAGUACUAGGAUGAAAAUUAAUUAAUGGUAGGCAUGCAUUGGAAAUCUCCCGUACAUUUGCUCUCUUUACACUGGUUAUAAAUGAAGCGGACAAGAUUGUCGGCUUCUUCAGUUCUCUUCUGGAGAAGUCACAUAUGUCUCUCCUGCUUAUGCACCUCAGAAGUGAGGAUACUUCUCAUCUUCUUCCACUGCUCUCCCCAUGGCGAAAGGACUGUGGUCAAGAAUCUGCUCAAGUGAUGGGACUCCAUUGGAAUAGGUCAGGAUGCAAACACUGCAUCAUGUUUCUUCAAAAACUCCCUUCCAAUCUCAGGCGAAAUCACGGGAAUGACAUGGACAUUGCCCAGUUUGAUGCAUGCGAUCUCAUUGUUCAGUUCUUCCUAAAGCCCAAGUAUCCACCGGAAUGCCGGCUUUUUUUGUGAAUAAUUCAGGUAGGUUCCCAACUAGGCCAUGGAGCUGGACCUCGAGGGAGCAGUGGCAUUUGCUUGGUGAUUAGGGUUUUGGGUUUGAGUUUGUAGAGGAUGAGAAAAGCGAAGAGGAAAAGGAAAAGGAGCAAGAAGAUGAAUGGUAAAUGAGGAUGAAGUGAAUCCAAGGUUUCAGAAUUAUGAGAGAGCAGGAAGAGUAACGGAUUUGGAAAUGAAGAAGCCAUGGUUGAGUUGCAGCUGCUACUCAUCAUCAUUUUUCUCUUGCUGAUGUUAAGGUGCAGAACAAUGGAGUCUGGAUCCCUCCGAAUCCUAAUCCUAAGACCCAUCGAAAAUGUGAAGGUACCAUUCUCCCACACUAAUAUUAUUUAUUUCUAAAGUGAUGUCGAUUAGGGAGGAAACUUCCGAAAGAAAUAAUAUUGAAGAGUUGCUUCUUACGCAUGAAAUGAAGAAGCAAACUUUUUAUUGAAGAAAAACAUUCUCUCUUUUAUGAAAAGAACAUUUCAAUCUCUUACUAUCACUUUCAAUAAAAACAUGACAAAUUCUCAUCAAAGACAGGACCACUUCUUUGGACAGCAAUAAAUAUGCUGUCACACAUCGACAGAAAAACAACUUGGGUGUUUUAAAAAAUACUUUUCAAUUAUUUUCAAGAAUUUCAUAUUAAAAUAAUAAUGAUAAUUAAUUAAUUUUACGUCCGAUCCCACUACUUCAAAAAUAUCAUUGAAUAUAAAUGCAUGACGUAAAGGUUUGGAAGUAUGAUUGCAUGUAGAUGACGUAAUAAAAGAAGAAAAAGGGAAAAAAAAAACCUACAAAUCAAUUUAAAGUAAAAUAUAUUUUUUUUAAUUUUUCUAUUUUAUACAUUGAUAUCUUCUUUCAUGUAUAAUAUGUUGGAAUUUAUAUAUGUAAAUGGAAAUUAGGAUUUUUUUUUUUUUUUUUUGAAAAACAUGUUUGUUAAUAAAUACAAUUUAUUUUAAAUAACGUAUCUUGUACAACUUCUUCUAAAAGAUGUGUUUGUUGUUUUAAGACACGACCCUUUAAAAGAUGUUUAGUAUUUUAAAGGCACAUCUCUUUUAAAGGUUAUCAUCAAAUCUAUAAAUAGGGACUCUCAUGACAUAUUAAUUCAUCAAUUCUUUUCAUUUUUUCUUCUUUUUACCAAAUAUUUGGUAUUUAAGAAAAUACAAAUUAUUAAGUGAUUCACUAUUUCUCAUGAUUUGAAGUGCUAUUAUCAUAAAAAAAAAUGAUCAUUAUAUCCUAAGAGGCAAUUGCCCAUAAAUAAUAAGCACCUGAGUGAGACAAAUUCGUCUUAAAGUCAUAGAGUCAAACUAUCAAUCUUAUUUGUGAGUUUCGAUUUUCUACUUCAUUUUAUUUGUAUAUUUAUUAUACACACUUAUUAUCCAUAUAUUUUCAAUGAUCUGGAUAACAUAAUAUUUAUUUUUUCAUAUUCAACGGUUUUAAAUAGUGUUAUACAUAUCUAGGAGUUGAAUUCAUUUUUAACUCCAAAUUUUAAGAUAUGGGGGAAUUGGUCCAAUAGGUUCAAAAUUUAUAUACCAAUGUAGCGAUCCCAAUUCCCACAUAAGAAGAGAAAAAUAAAAUACCAUUAAAAUAUCUUUAAUAAUAACUUCCUAUCUAUCAUAUAUACUGGUGGGAUUUUUCCAUAAAUUAAUUUAUGAUUAAAAAAAAGUAUUUUGUGGUAGGAUUUUUUUUUUGCAAAAAAAAUUAUUUGUAGCAAGUUUGUUAUUAUAAGUCCAUGAAUAUCUGGUAUCCACACAGUUAAUAAAAGAUCGAAGCUUAUCAUCUAUAGUUAAUAAAAGAUCGAAGCUUAUCAUCUAUAAUAAUAAACUGAUAUAAUAAGGUAGAUGAUUGACCAUCAUCCUAGGAGUCUUUUCUUAAUCAAUUUGAUAAUAUCAUAUAGUUAAUUACAAUGGAAUCCAUUUGUAAUCAAUAUGAUGUUACCUUAUUAACGAUUAUCUUAACAAUGAAGUCUUUUUUUUAAUAAUUUUGAUAAUUACAAUGUAAUCUCUUUGUAGUCAAUUGAUAACAUCAUAUGACUUUAGAGGUCUAGGUUAGAUGAAAUAUAUGGAAAAAAAACUACUCAAAAUUUGGUCAAUGCAAUACCAAGACCCGUACAUUGAUCCUUUUUAUUAGGUAAAGGAUACCUAAUCCAUUGAAGAACCUCAUUUAAAGGCUUGUAGUUGAUUAUAAGUCCUGAGGCACCUCUUUCAAUCUCAGCAAAUGCCCAAAUGGAACAGUGAAUGCAAUCUUAUAUUUAUCUUUUUCUUCACUUUUAAUUUGUCAAAAUCCUGAUUUUAAAUCAAAUUUUGAAAAGAUUAAAGCAUCAUGAAGGCAACCAAUAAAAUCCCUUUUAUUACUUAAAGGAUACCUAAUCCAUUGAAGAACCUCAUUUAAAGGCUUGUAGUUGAUCACAAAUCUUGGGCCACCUGGAACUCCCUUACUAACUCAACUCUAUCCUUUUAUGAUGAAUUUCUUCUAAUUAAUGAAAGUUCUUCAUCAUAUGAUAGUUCUUCUUCACAAUCAUCAUGUGAUUGUAUGAAAAACUGAAGUAUCAACUAUGUGUCAAACAUGAAUGGAGUGUGAUGCCUUUGAUCAUUAAAUUUGGUUACAAUUCCUUCAUCACUUACUCAAUUGGUUUGGUUGUGCCUUGGUAAAUUUCAAAUCUUAAGAAUUUAAUCCCGCUUUGAAAUAGUUUGAUCUUAGGGUAGAAAUUACUAGUCCAUUCUCUUUGACAAUUUUUUGAAAGAUUUUUAUAUGCUUGAAGUGUUGAUCAAUAGAAUUUAAAAAUAUAAGAACAUCAUCAAUAUAUACAAUGGUAAAGCUUGUAUAGGGAUUGAAAAUGUUAUUAACCAUUAUCUUAACAAUGAAGUCUUUUUUUAAUCAUUUUGAUAAUUACAAUGCUUGAUAACAUCAUAUUACUUUAGAGGUCUAAGUUAGAUGACCCAUUAAAAUACGUCAUGUUUGGGGUGGAAUAUUAUGUCAACGAUUUUAAAAAGAAAUAUAUCAUAUGACAAAAGAGUGGGUUUUGAAAAUUUCACUCAUUAACAAGAGAUUCUAAAAAGGAAUUUUAAAAUUUUAUCAAAUGUCUAAGGUUCUAAGAAAGCAAUUCCAAACAUUAAGAAGUACUACUUAUGACCUCUUUCAAAAUCAAAUGCGUAAUGUAAAGUUGGACAACGUUUGUGAACAUAUUUAGGAGUCAACUCAGAAGUUUAGGAUAGAAGAGUCAACUUAGAAGGAUGUAAGAUUUAAAUAUUGACGUGGGCACGCAUGACAUAUACACUUCAAUGAAAGGAAAAAAAGAAAAAAAAGAAAAAAGGAAAAAAAAGAAAAGAAAAAGAAAAACCCACUUCAAAUCAAUUAAAACACAAAUAUUUUUUAUAAUAUAUAUUUUUUAAAUUUUAUAUUAUAUUUGGUGUAAAAAACAUUUUCUAGUUUUUAUUUUCUAAAAAUUAUUUUAUUUUAUCUUUUUUUUAUUAAUUAUUUAAGAAAAUAAAAUUUAUAAAAUCUUACUUGAUUUUGAGUUUUUAUUAAUGUAAAAAAUGGUUUAGAAAAUAUAACUAAAAUUUUAUAUAAUACACAUGUUAUUAUAUAAAGUAUAUUAUUAUAUUACAUUUAUUUAUUAUUCUUUUUAUUUUUAGAAAUACCUUUAUAGCUUCUCACUAUUAUAAAAUUAAAAUAUCAAGGACACAAACUUUUAGCUUUAACAACACAUAAUAUGAUUUAUAUAGUUUCUGACUAUGAGAUAAAACAAAUAAAAAUUAUGAUAAUAAAAGUGAAAUAUAAUGACAUAUCAUUUUUCAUAUAUCUUUGUAUCCCCAAAGCAUCAUGUGAUGAGUGGAGAAGAAAAGAAAAUUGGAUGAGAGCAUUUAUCUUUAUUAACUCAUAAAUCCUUAUUUAUAGGCUCUACUCAUCAAGCUUCGGAAUGGAUGAAGUUUUAAUCAAUUCCCAUACAUGGAAGCAUGCAAGCGUGGUUUUGCAUGAGCAUGGAGAGGCUUGGCUAGAAAGAGGUCGUUCAUUGAUUCUGUGAGGUCAAUUUGGUCCUGGUUCGGUGGCACACUCCACGAAAAACAUUGAAGGAGUCUCGCCAAGAGUGUAACUGUCAAGGCUGUCCCUAAGGCAGUUCCAGGACACCCGCGUCUCCCAGUACUAAAUGAAAUGAACCGAAGCUCAGGCUCAGCUAAAUCCACCACUUCAUCAUUCAUAUGCCGCUCUGGUUUAAACUUUAAUGGCUCUUCCCACACUCUAGGGUUCCGUCCAAGCCCUACCCGGCUCAGCAGGACAUGGCUGCCUUUGGGGAUGAAGUAGCCGGCCACAACAGCGUCCGCCAUGGACACAUGGGGCACGUUGAAUGGUGCUAUGGGGUGAAGCCGCAGAGCUUCCCUAGCACAGGCUUUAACAUAUUUGAGCUGCGCGAUAUCGGAUUCUUGAACAAGUCUAUCCUUUCCAACCACUCUAUCGAUUUCUUCUACGGCCUUCUGCAUAAUCUCGGGUUGAUUGAUCAUUUCUGCCAUUGCCCACUCAGCUGCAUGCGCUGGAUUAUCCACUAUUUCAAUCAUCAGUUCCUGCCAGAUUGUAUAUAGUUAAUAUAUAUUGAACCCCAAAGAGAAGAACUUCAGAAUAUAUAUACGAAAUUAAGAUAACAUAUUAGAGCUAAAUUCUCACUAUGAGUUGGGCUUUGAUCUCUUCUACUGAUAGCAAUGGUUUUCCCUUUGUGUCGCUGAUUGUAAUGAAAACAUCGAGUAUGUCCUCAACCUCCUUCUUCUCCCCAUUUCUCCAUUGUAUUAUUCUUUCAUCCACAAUCGGAUCAUGAUGCUUGUUGAUGAUUCUCAAAGCCUCUUUUACCAUCUUCUCAUGGCCAUCUAGGUCGAAGACUCUCAGGCAUGGAAGGUAAUCAGAUGGAGAGAAUACAUAUAGGUAAGCAAGCGUGGUAAAGAGGGAGUUUACGUGUUCUUCUUCUUCAAGUCCAGGCCCUCCAUCUUUCCUUCCUUCCCCAAAGUACCUUCUGCUGAACAUCAUCUUCCUAACCACAUUUCCUGUGUAUUGUCUGACUGUAUUUCUCACAUUCACAACCGAUGAUUCCGUAAAAUUAUGGCUAGUAAUACUAGAGAACUUACACUGGUUAUAAAUGAAGCGGACAAGAUUGUCGGCUUCUUCAGUUCUCUUCUGGAGGAGCCACAUAUGUCUUGCUGGCUUAAGCACCUCAGAAGUGAUGAUCCUUCUCAUCUUCUUCCACUGCUCUCCCCAUGGCGAAAGGACUGUGGUCAGGAAUCCUCUGCUCAAGUGAUCGGACGUCAUUGUAAUAGGUCUGGAUGCAAACACUGCAUCAUGUUUCUUCAAAAACUCCCUGGCAAUCUCAGGCGAAAUCACGGGAAUGACAUGGACAUUGCCCAGUUUGAUGCAUGCAAUCUCAGUGUUGAGUUCCUCCAAAAGUCCAAGUAUCCACCGGAAUACCGGCUUUUUUGUGAAUAAUUCAGGCAGGUUCCCAACUAAUGGCCAUGGAGUUGGGCCAGGAGGGAGCAGUGGCAUUGGCUUGGUGAUUAGGGUUUUGGGUUUGAGUUUGUAGAGGAUAAGAAAAGCGAAAAAGAAAAGGAAAAGGAGCAAGAGGAUGAAUGGUAAAUGAAGAUGAAGUGAAACGAGCUUCAAGGUUUCAGAAUUAUGAGAGAGCAGGAAGAGGAAUGAAUUUGGAAAUGAAGAAGACAUGGUUGAGUUGCAGCUGCUACCCAUCAUCAUUUGUCUCUUGCUGAUCUUCAGUACUAGGAUGCAUGAGAAACCUCCCAUACAUUUGCUCUCUCUUUAUAGGCAAAUGGACUUUCACUAUACAGGCCUUUCAUACUUCCCAUCAAUGGUAGGAUUACUCCUCUUGUACGGUCAAAAUCAUGUUAGAUUUUGGUCCAACAGACAGGGG
RNAcentral lists this long non-coding RNA (7372 nucleotides) under Vitis vinifera (wine grape). Its description in RNAcentral is "long non-coding RNA (VVIN_LNC004007)". Lineage: Eukaryota; Viridiplantae; Streptophyta; Magnoliopsida; Vitales; Vitaceae. The record is from RNAcentral.